RNAcentral lists this microRNA (22 nucleotides) under Gyrodactylus salaris (gyrodactylosis fluke). RNAcentral's name for it is "gsa-miR-10a-3p". Its record names the gene gsa-miR-10a-3p. The record is from miRBase by way of RNAcentral. Lineage: Eukaryota; Metazoa; Platyhelminthes; Monogenea; Gyrodactylidea; Gyrodactylidae.
AAAUUCGAGUCAACAGGGUCGU